UACGAAGGGGGCUAGCGUUGUUCGGAAUUACUGGGCGUAAAGCGCACGUAGGCGGAUUGUUAAGUCAGGGGUGAAAGCCUGGAGCUCAACUCCAGAACUGCCCUUGAUACUGGCAAUCUCGAGUCCGGAAGAGGUAAGUGGAACUCCGAGUGUAGAGGUGAAAUUCGUAGAUAUUCGGAAGAACACCAGUGGCGAAGGCGGCUUACUGGUCCGGUACUGACGCUGAGGUGCGAAAGCGUGGGGAGCAAACAGG
RNAcentral lists this ribosomal RNA (253 nucleotides) under uncultured bacterium. RNAcentral describes it as "partial 16S ribosomal RNA". It matches the Rfam family "Bacterial small subunit ribosomal RNA", at positions 524 to 776 of the family's 1533-position model. The record is from RNAcentral.